RNAcentral lists this ribosomal RNA (468 nucleotides) under uncultured bacterium. RNAcentral's name for it is "partial 16S ribosomal RNA". It matches the Rfam family "Bacterial small subunit ribosomal RNA", at positions 28 to 507 of the family's 1533-position model. The record is from RNAcentral.
GACGAACGCUGGCGGCGUGCUUAACACAUGCAAGUCGAACGGAAAGGCCCUGCUUUUGUGGGGUGCUCGAGUGGCGAACGGGUGAGUAACACGUGAGUAACCUGCCCUUGACUUUGGGAUAACUUCAGGAAACUGGGGCUAAUACCGGAUAGGAGCUCCUGCUGCAUGGUGGGGGUUGGAAAGUUUCGGCGGUUGGGGAUGGACUCGCGGCUUAUCAGCUUGUUGGUGGGGUAGUGGCUUACCAAGGCUUUGACGGGUAGCCGGCCUGAGAGGGUGACCGGCCACAUUGGGACUGAGAGACGGCCCAGACUCCUACGGGAGGCAGCAGUGGGGAAUAUUGCACAAUGGGCGGAAGCCUGAGGCAGCAACGCCGCGUGCGGGAUGACGGCCUUCGGGUUGUAAACCGCUUUCGCCUGUGACGAAGCGUGAGUGACGGUAAUGGGUAAAGAAGCACCGGCUAACUACGUG